Long non-coding RNA from Branchiostoma belcheri (Belcher's lancelet), 350 nucleotides. RefSeq lists it as uncharacterized. The record is from RefSeq and is a predicted model, not a curated record. NCBI's taxonomy places the organism in Eukaryota, Metazoa, Chordata, Leptocardii, Amphioxiformes, Branchiostomatidae. The transcript has 2 exons.
CAGACCCACCUGUGACUGUCGGGCGGAGUGUGGAAGUGGGGGCGGACUGUUUCGCCGUCUGUUAGACUGAAGUGGUGGACUCUUGUAACCUGCUUGACAAGAAUCGUCCAAUCCGCUGGCAACUGUGAAGAAAGAUAGCAUAAAUUUCGUAGCAGAAAUGAAAUGCUUGUCAAGCCUCAAGGCCAUAUUAUUGUUAGACUCGUAACUUGAAUUGUAAAGAUACAUCUUGAACCUUGCUUUCACAAUAUAUAUCACACCUGGAGUACAAAGCAUGUGGAAGAAUGUCUUUAUUUUCCAGUCUUGUUCCAAAAAUUGAUUGGGUUGAAUAAAAACUGUUACAAACAUGGUUA